UAAUUCAUGGUGUCGGUUGGUUUUGCUA
Molecule: small RNA, 28 nt
Filed under: Bombyx mori (domestic silkworm)
Lineage: Eukaryota; Metazoa; Arthropoda; Insecta; Lepidoptera; Bombycidae
Description: ovarian small RNA-19892
Source: RNAcentral